This 404-nucleotide ribosomal RNA is filed under the name uncultured bacterium. RNAcentral's name for it is "bacterial SSU rRNA". It matches the Rfam family "Bacterial small subunit ribosomal RNA", at positions 355 to 776 of the family's 1533-position model. RNAcentral also lists the same sequence under 1 other name. The record is from RNAcentral.
UGGGGGAUAUUGCACAAUGGAGGAAACUCUGAUGCAGCAACGCCGCGUGAGGGAAGAAGGAUUUCGGUUUGUAAACCUCUGUCAUUGGUGACGAUAAUGACGGUAGCCGAUGAGGAAGCUCCGGCUAACUACGUGCCAGCAGCCGCGGUAAUACGUAGGGAGCGAGCGUUGUCCGGAAUUACUGGGUGUAAAGGGUGCGUAGGCGGGGGACCAAGUCAGGUGUGAAAACUAUCGGCUUAACCGGUAGCCUGCACUUGAAACUGGCCCUCUUGAGUGAAGUAGAGGCAGGCGGAAUUCCCGGUGUAGCGGUGAAAUGCGUAGAGAUCGGGAGGAACACCAGUGGCGAAGGCGGCCUGCUGGGCUUUAACUGACGCUGAGGCACGAAAGCAUGGGUAGCAAACAGG